RNAcentral lists this small nuclear RNA (200 nucleotides) under Anolis carolinensis (green anole). RNAcentral describes it as "7SK RNA". It matches the Rfam family "7SK RNA", at positions 1 to 199 of the family's 331-position model. From Rfam's summary of the family: 7SK was discovered as an abundant small nuclear RNA in the mid-70s but a possible function has only recently been suggested. The record is from Rfam by way of RNAcentral. Lineage: Eukaryota; Metazoa; Chordata; Lepidosauria; Squamata; Anolidae.
GGAUGUGAGGGCGAUCUGUCACCCCAUUGUUCGCCAGGGUUGAUUCGGCUGAUCUGGCUGGCUAGGCGGGUGUCCCCUUCCUCCCUCACCGUUCCAUGUGCAUCCCUCCCGAGGUUGCGUGCUUGGUGAAAGAGGAUGGCGUCCCAGGUAUAGAAGGAGUGUACCGAGGUCUCCAGUCUUUGGUCCCGAGUAUACGAAGU